ACGCGAUAAGUUGACCGCCUGGGGAGUACGGCCGCAAGGUUAAAACUCAAAUGAAUUGACGGGGUCCCGCACAAGCGGUGGAGUAUGUGGUUUAAUUCGAUGCAACGCGAAGAACCUUACCUGGCCUUGACAUAUCCGGAACCCUGCAGAGAUGCGGGGGUGCCUUCGGGAAUCGGAAUACAGGUGCUGCAUGGCUGUCGUCAGCUCGUGUCGUGAGAUGUUGGGUUAAGUCCCGCAACGAGCGCAACCCUUGUCCUUAGUUGCCAGCACGUAAUGGUGGUAACUCUAGGGAGACUGCCGGUGACAAACCGGAGGAAGGCGGGGACGACGUCAAGUCAUCAUGGCCCUUACGGCCAGGGGCUACACACGUACUACAAUGGUCGGUACAAAGGGUUGCUAAGCCGCGAGGCUCGCUAAUCUCAAAAACCG
This 429-nucleotide ribosomal RNA is filed under the name uncultured bacterium. RNAcentral's name for it is "bacterial SSU rRNA". It matches the Rfam family "Bacterial small subunit ribosomal RNA", at positions 855 to 1284 of the family's 1533-position model. The record is from RNAcentral.